This is a long non-coding RNA of Cucurbita moschata (crookneck pumpkin), 2151 nucleotides long. RefSeq lists it as uncharacterized. The transcript has 7 exons. The record is from RefSeq and is a predicted model, not a curated record. Lineage: Eukaryota; Viridiplantae; Streptophyta; Magnoliopsida; Cucurbitales; Cucurbitaceae.
UGCAGUUUUGAGCAAUUAUGCAUCAAUUGCACAAAUGUAAAGCUGCCAUGACUUUUCAACCAGCUCUUCGAGACAGAGCAGGAAGAAUAUUAAAAGAGUAAAUUGAUUGAAGCUAGCAUACUAUUUGCUGAUAAUCAAGCUCUCCCGGAUCACUUUAAGAAGGAAACAGUCCAACAUAGCUCUUUCAUGCUGUGGAAGUAAAGAGCAGGGUAAGCUUCCCUGGUCAAGUAAAGGGUGGUGCACUCUUGGACAAUUCUACUUGAAAUUGAAGUAUGCUAGUGAAAAGCAUGCUGGAACUGACGAAAAACCUGUUGUGCAAUGCGGAAAAUUUUCAAUGAAUGUGGAUGUUGCAUUGGAAGUGCCGAGAAGACCCUGUCAAUGUUGGAUAGAAUGGAAACUUUCGUUCAAACCAAAAAGAUUGAACUUCUGAGUUCGAUGGGCAGUUAUGAUAAAAAGAUUGUGGUAAACUUGGUGAUUUCUGCAAACACCUACUUCUUACUGGACAGGUGGUUGUCUCGCGCAUUCCAAACGCAUUCUGUCCAAAGUGCUUACCACAUGGCCACCAGAUAUAUGCUGUCUUCUGAUUUCUCAUACUACGUGAGUACUUAUACCUGCUACCACAGUGAAAACCAAACAAGUUUUUGUUUCAGGAGCAUUAUAUGAUGAACACUGGGCGUAGCUAUGGUUGUAGUAGAAGAGAACAAACUUGUAGUAGUAAAUGAAGGGACUGAUGAAAAGAGAGAUUUUAACAUUCAAGUGCUUGAUAUUAAAACUAUGUAUGAGAUUCAUUUAGUUUUCAUUGAAUUACUGUAAACAUUAAACAGGAAGGGCCCUGGGACUAUUCUAGAAAUAAAAUGGCAUGCUAUUCAUUUCUAAGAAUCAUUUAUAUUUUGAACAUUUGACAUAAAAAAAUUGUUUCAGGCUGAUAGGCAAAGAGCUAACGAGAGAGAAAGGACAUGCUGAAAUGGAGAAUUCAAGGAUGGGGAAGUUACAAGGAACUGAAAGGAGAAUGCAACUUCAGGACUAUUCUAUAAGACAGGUAGCUGGAUAAUUCAUUUCUGUUGGUAUCUUACGGAUUUGGAAACCGAGCGAUUUUCUACCACACGUUACCUCUUGAAGUUGGACCUCCGCUUCAUAAGGAGUUUUGUGCGAGUCUUUCUUUCAUAAUAAGCCGACACUGACUGCCCAUAGAUACUGUUCUGAAAGAGGAGAUUACUGAUGCCAUUCGAGACUGAAUUCAAUCUUGAGGUGGCGAAUGGUGUUCUAAGGUAUCCUAGAUGUUCAUCCUUGGAUUUACUGCAUAAAAAUUAAACCUUGAAGUUAAGAGGGAAUUGAGUGAUGGAUCAAGGUAUCAAAUUCCUAGCAACAAUCCUCUAUACAGAGUCCUUAGAUCCGCCGUGUCCCAAGAGAGGGAAGGAACUGUAGACCAAGAGCACUUCAAUCUGUCCCUUCAGAACCGUAUGCAUUGUAUUUAGUGAGUGUUUAAGGACGGACGCACGACGAUGGAAAGUGGGUUCAAUCGGAGUUUUUGCAGUCACACUCCCCAAGGAAAAGUUCCCAGGAAUAAGUGGUGGUUGGAGAAGACAUGUCGACCAUUAUCGGAGGAGGUUGGAGGACAAAUUGGAAAUACUGGAAAAUCAGCCAAGGAAGACCAACGUGGGUUGGUUUGAACCCGGAUCCAGAAAGUCCUCAAUGUUGAGCCACCGGAGCCGAAUCUCUACGCUACCCAAAUCCAUUCACAGCCCUCUCUGCAUGCGUGUUUAAAACAGGACGCAGACGGCUCAGCCCAUGCAUGCUGCAGCUCAACCGUUAACCCGACUGCGACCCACACCCCUCUUAUUUCAACUCGGCUUAGUGCAUUCCGACGGCUUCUAAAUAGCUCAUUUGGUUUGGGUUAGACUAUUUGGACUCGUUUCUUACUUUCUUUACCCUUCUUAAGUGUUUUUGACAUUAUUGGAAGCAUUUGAGGUCAGGAUGACCCCUAUUUGCUCAAUUUAAAUUAUUUUGAGAAGAAAAUUGGAAUUAUUUGAUAUCUUUAGGUAAGUUAAGCUUGUAAUAUUCUAAUGUGAUGUUGUGGGUACACAUGUUGAAUCGGACAUUGAGGAACAAAUUUGGGUCAGUUCUAGAAAUAUUUAGUGACUCUGAUUAGGC